GAAGAAGUUUAGCUUUUAUAUACAGAACAACUAGAGACAGAGCAUUGGGAAGAGGGACUCAUUGAAGAGUUUUAAAUAGGGAAGCAACAGAAUGAGGUUUGAAUUCACAAAGACCAUUCACUUUUCCUUUAGGAAGCUAUUUAGCAGUAAGAGAAAAGCAUAGAAAUGUAGGUGGCAGAAGGGCUGGACAGAACGCAGAGUGAGUGUGCACCCAUUUCUCCCAGAGCAGGACCUUGAUCUGCAGAAUGACCAUGCUCCUGAGAGGCAAUGGAUGGUCUCUAGGGGCCCUUCCACUCUGAGGCCUACAUUUCAUGAUUGCUGACAGACUGCAAGAUACAAGAAAAGCCACAGGCCUAAGGAUUCUCUUCCUCUGGGUGGACACGCUUAACCCUAGUACAAUGUGAAGUGGAACCUGGCCUCAAUUUCGUCUCAAAUGUCCCCUCAGCUGUGUGCCUCCUGCUACACCUGCUAUUAGAGUCAGCUGCAUUUGAUCCCAAGUCUGCUCCUACUGUAUGAUCUUGUCAUUGUAAUUAUGUGAGUUAACCAAUUAUUAUGUAAAUUAAUACAAAUAAAAUGUUUUAAUUUCUUAAAAUAAAAUCUAUGCAGAAUGCU
Molecule: long non-coding RNA, 612 nt
Filed under: Homo sapiens (human)
Lineage: Eukaryota; Metazoa; Chordata; Mammalia; Primates; Hominidae
Description: HSALNT0066108
Source: RNAcentral